This 1021-nucleotide long non-coding RNA is filed under the name Carassius auratus (goldfish). RNAcentral's name for it is "lncRNA (ENSCARG00000052410.1)". The record is from RNAcentral. Lineage: Eukaryota; Metazoa; Chordata; Actinopteri; Cypriniformes; Cyprinidae.
AUCGUCUUUCCUAACCUGAGAACUGUUCCUGAUGGUGUGAGUGUGAUAGUGAGACAAUGUAAAGGUUGUGGAAAGCCUGUUUUUGAACAGAUCGAGGAACAGACAACACUGUCAUCAAAAAUAACUCUGCAGAUGUCUGAGAGAAAUAUUGCCCAGAAAGAGCACACAUGGUCUCUUCACAUGUGAUGAACGAGCCUCUAUGCAUUUCUGCUCUACAUCUCUCCCCCAUUCUUCACAUCCAUCUAUUUUUGGUCCAAUGCUGUUCGUUAUUGGUGGUACCACCUGCAAAGCCUUUAAUUAGCUCACAUCUGCUUCGCUCUCUCCCAAACUGAUGCACUUGGCGCCCCCACGAUGUAAAAGACCAUCAUGAAGCAUAACCCCCCAAAUCAAAAGGUCAUCAGGACAAAAGGAAGCUAAAACUGCUAAUACUGGAUUCCAUGAAGAUUGUAGAAUGAGAUGUCGUAUUAUGAGCGGGUGCGUUUUUUUUUCUAACACACAGAGAAUGGAGUCUUCAAAGAAAACCCUCGUCAUGUCGAGAGAAACAAAACAACAGGGAUUAAAUAUAGAUUUCUCUGCUCUUUAUCAGCCAAGGCAAUCUCAAAAACAAAAAGCAAUCAAUAAUGCUCAAAAGAAAACGAGAAAUGGGACAAACAAUUUUAAGAGCAUUUCAGUGGGGACUUGUUUCUGUUCUGCUUUCAAGUUUGUUUGUUUUUUCAUUUUUUUGCUUUGUGUUGCAGGACUGCGCCGGAGUUACUCUUGCAGUGUUUGUAACGUAGUGCUGAACUCCAUCGAGCAGUAUCACGCACAUCUCCAGGGCUCCAAACACCAAAACAAUUUAAAACAACAUCAGCAAUGAAGAACUGGAAAUACUGAAGCUGAAGAGGAAAAACAAACACAAACUAAUUGUGACGUCUUGUUUGGCCACAGGAAUUGUUCACCUACAACACCUGAGGAUCCUCAAAUGUCAAGUGUUUUAUAUUUUUUUGGUCACAAUCAAAAGCUCAAAGUUCAAUCUACUUUG